AUGGUGGUUAAAAUUUUGCAACUGUUGAAAGUAUAAUCACCACUGGUAAUUUAUCCUGGUCACACUUGUCUUAAGUUUACCUAUGCUUUUGUUCACGAGUGGGAUCUUUCUGAUAGCGGUCAAACUUGGUUUGGCAGUAUUUAAGUUUGUGAAGCCCCCAAAGAACAAUGAGAAGCCGAUUGAUCAAAAGAGCAAGGUUAAGUUGAAAAUUACGAGUUUAAAAGUGAAAGGAGAAAUGGAGUAUGUACCAGAACUGGAAAUGCAUCUUUGUUGUUAGUUUCUUUUAGUGGCUUUUGGCAUGUGUCUUUAUAAUUCCUUCUUGUUUAUGUGAGAUAAAUUGAACUUCUUGUUUUGAAGUUGCAUGGAAUUUUCAUGGUCAUUUAUAGUAUCAUUGAUUGAAUCAGAUUUUUUAAUUGGAAUGAGUUGCUCAUAAAUUUAUUGGCCUCCUUCCAGGGAUUUAGGUCAAAACUUUGGAAAAUUCACUGAAAUAAAUAAACAUAAAGAAAAUGACAUCCAUUCUUUGACUUCCUUAGAAUUUCUAAAUUCAUAUUGUAUUUCAAAUAUUAAUCUGAAAAAAGAAAACUUGGGAUGAGGUAGUCUACACUACUUGUGAUUCUAUAUAAGUACAACAAUUAAAUGCAAAUGUUUCAGAUGCUGAAAAUUUUGUUGUAUGAUGCCAUUUGCAGUCUGAAGGGCAAAGCGAUCAAGUAACAGUGGAGCAAAUUCUGCGUGUUGUUUUCCUAGAUCCUGAAUGUCCUAGCCCUGUAGGAUUAUAUCCCAAAUAUGUCAUGUGACCUCUAUCAUUUAUGUCUGCAUCUAUCAUUUAUGUCUGCAAAUCUGUAUUUGUGGCUCCUCUUGUCUAUGCUUUCAUGGGAAGCUCAAGAGAUACAGCCAUAGGACCAGUGGCUGUGGUAUACCUUUUACUUGGUACACCCUUGACACAGUAUAUGACUCCCAAAUACAUAUUCUUCUUUCUUGAUCUGCCUGAAUUCUGGUUAAAAAGCCACUUCAAUUCUAAAGUUUGAACUUUUAGAUGAAGGUUCGGAAUAGUAAUAUCUUUGUCAUGCCCACUCACACAAGCCCUUUGCACUUGAAGUGUGGAAACUUAAUUUUUUUUUAGUCUAAUUGUUUUUCCUUUUUGAGUGGUGAGGACAUGAUCAUGGAAACUCUAGUACUGUUUCAAGAAUCCCUUCAAUUUAAACUUCUAGGCUGUUUGACAUCUAUAACAACUUUGAACAUGUUUGGUGCUGUCAAUCUAUGAGAAUUUUUGCAGGCUUGGUUUCUUGAUUGACUUCUUACCUCACGCUGCCAUUGUGGGCUUUACAGCAGGAGCUGCUGUUACUAUAGCCUUGCAGCAGCUUAAAGGACUCGCCUGGAAUGUCGUGAAGCCUGUGUGGACAAGGUUGUAAAACUGAAAAUCAUGUUUGAUCAUUUGAAGGUUGAAUAAGAUCUGCAGUCUACUUUUGAGGGGGACAACCAUGUUAUGAUGCAGCAGGGGGAACACCGAAGAUAGCAAAUGUGCCCGUCCCACAUGCUAUGAUCAUGAGUGACAAUGCUGACGAAGUUAAAAGCACGGAUAUCACCAGAAGCUUUUCGUACCCUUGUGACAUUGUUGACAAGAAAAGUAAGAAGAGGAUAGCAGAAACAGAGAAAAGGAAGGAGAGAAAGUUUGUCACAACAAAAACCUUGAAACCUUCAUUAUGCUUCAAUACGGGAGAGCCCUGAUGUUCACCCUCUUCUAUGGCACCCCCAGCUAUAUGAAGUAUGGUUUCAUCCUUGAUAUUGGCCUUUGCGAGAAGUGCUGGACACGUGCCUAACAUGUCUUCCACAAAUGUUUGCGAUACAUUGUCAGUGUAAUUUGUGAAGUGUAUGUGAAGGAUUGUAUUUUCAUUUGGGGUUAGUAUGGACCCAAUUUGCUCACCAUCCUUUCCCUUAAAAGCAUCAAUGUUACCUUUCACUGAAGCAUUGUAAAACUCAAGUUCCAUGCCUUUGAUGACUUCGUUGUCUUUUAA
This is a long non-coding RNA of Prosopis cineraria, 2012 nucleotides long. RefSeq lists it as uncharacterized. The transcript has 4 exons. NCBI's taxonomy places the organism in Eukaryota, Viridiplantae, Streptophyta, Magnoliopsida, Fabales, Fabaceae. The record is from RefSeq and is a predicted model, not a curated record.